AGGGCAGUGGCGCAGCGGGAGCGCGCUUCCUUGGCAUGGAAGAGGUCAGGGGUUCGAUUCCCCUCUGCUCCACCG
Molecule: transfer RNA, 75 nt
Filed under: Planctomycetota bacterium
Lineage: Bacteria; Pseudomonadati; Planctomycetota
Description: Planctomycetes bacterium (sediment metagenome) tRNA-Ala
Rfam family: tRNA
About the family: Transfer RNA (tRNA) molecules are approximately 80 nucleotides in length. Their secondary structure includes four short double-helical elements and three loops (D, anti-codon, and T loops).
Source: RNAcentral